UACGUAGGGGGCUAGCGUUGUCCGGAUUUAUUGGGCGUAAAGAGCGUGUAGGCGGCCAGGUAGGUCUGGUGUGAAAACUCGAGGCUUAACCUUGAGAUGUCAUCGGAAACCAUUUGGCUAGAGUCCGGAAGAGGAAAGUGGAAUUCCUGGUGUAGCGGUGAAAUGACGCAGAUAUCAGGAAGAACACCAAUGGCGAAAGCAGCGUUUCUGGGACG
Molecule: ribosomal RNA, 215 nt
Filed under: uncultured bacterium
Lineage: Bacteria
Description: partial 16S ribosomal RNA
Rfam family: Bacterial small subunit ribosomal RNA
Source: RNAcentral